Molecule: ribosomal RNA, 354 nt
Filed under: uncultured Saccharomyces
Lineage: Eukaryota; Fungi; Ascomycota; Saccharomycetes; Saccharomycetales; Saccharomycetaceae
Description: partial 28S ribosomal RNA
Rfam family: Eukaryotic large subunit ribosomal RNA (bases 297-354)
Source: RNAcentral
CUUUGACGCACAUUGCGCCCCUUGGUAUUCCAGGGGGCAUGCCUGUUUGAGCGUCAUUUCCUUCUCAAACAUUCUGUUGGGUAGUGAGUGAUACUCUUUGGAGUUAACUUGAAAUUGCUGGCCUUUUUCAUUGUGAUGUUUUUUUUUCCAAAGAGAGGUUUCUCUGCGUGCUUGAGGUAUAAUGCAAGUACGGUCGUUUUAAGUUUUACCUAAUGCGGCUAAUCUUUUUUAUACGGAGCGUAUUGGAACGUUAUCGAUAAAAAGAGAGCGUCUAGGCGAACAAUGUUCUUAAAGUUUGACCUCAAAUCAGGUAGGAGUACCCGCUGAACUUAAGCAUAUCAAUAAGCGGAGGAA